ACACCCAUCAAGCCUGGCUUGGUAUUGGGCGACGGGACCUCCCCGCGCCCCGAUUUCGCCGGCUGGACGCAUCCCGAUCUCAAGCGCUGUAAUGAGCAUUCGCUGGAGGGACGGGCGGCCACGCCGUUAACUCUUAAUCAAACA
Molecule: unclassified non-coding RNA, 144 nt
Filed under: uncultured Devriesia
Lineage: Eukaryota; Fungi; Ascomycota; Dothideomycetes; Mycosphaerellales; Teratosphaeriaceae
Description: sequence contains ITS2
Source: RNAcentral